This 518-nucleotide ribosomal RNA is filed under the name Bacillus subtilis subsp. endophyticus. RNAcentral describes it as "bacterial SSU rRNA". It matches the Rfam family "Bacterial small subunit ribosomal RNA", at positions 372 to 883 of the family's 1533-position model. Lineage: Bacteria; Bacillati; Bacillota; Bacilli; Caryophanales; Bacillaceae. The record is from RNAcentral.
CAGAGUAGUCUGACGGAGCACGCCGCGUGAGUGAUGAAGGUUUUCGGAUCGUAAAGCUCUGUUGUUAGGGAAGAACAAGUACCGUUCGAAUAGGGAGGCACCUUGACGGUACCUAACCACAAAGCCACGGCUAACUACGUGCCAACAGCCGCGGUAAUACGUAGGUGGCAAGCGUUGUCCGGAAUUAUUGGGCGUAAAGGGCUCGCAUGCGGUUUCUUAAGUCUGAUGUGAAAGCCCCCGGCUCAACCGGGGAGGGUCAUUGAAAACUGGGGAACUUGAGUGCAAAAGAGGAAAGUGGAAUUCCACGUGUAGCGGUGAAAUGCGUAAAGAUGUGGAGGAACACCAGUGGCGAAGGCGACUCUCUGGUCUGUAACUGACGCUGAGGAGCGAAAGCGUGGGGAGCGAACAGGAUUACAUACCCUGGUAGUCCACGCCGUAAACGAUGAGUGCUAAGUGUUAGGGGGUUUCCGCCCCUUAGUGCUGCAGCGGACGCAUUAAGCACUCCGCCGGGGGGAGAG